ACUUUGAUUAUGGCUCGGGAUGAACGCUAGCGGCAGGCUUAACACAUGCAAGUCGAGGGGUAACAGGGUAGUGCUUGCACUAUUGCUGACGACCGGCGCACGGGUGCGUAACGCGUAUAGAACCUACCUUUUACAGGGGGAUAGCCUUUAGAAAUGAAGAUUAAUACCCCAUAGUGUUGGAACCUGGCAUCAGGGACUAAUUAAAGUUUCGCCGGUAAAAGAUGGCUAUGCGUCUUAUUAGCUAGUUGGUAUGGUAACGGCAUACCAAGGCAACGAUAAGUAGGGGCCCUGAGAGGGGGAUCCCCCACACUGGUACUGAGACACGGACCAGACUCCUACGGGAGGCAGCAGUGAGGAAUAUUGGUCAAUGGAGGGAACUCUGAACCAGCCAUGCCGCGUGCAGGAAGACUGCCCUAUGGGUUGUAAACUGCUUCUAUACAGGAAGAAACCUUUCCACGUGUGGGGAGCUGACGGUACUGUAAGAAUAAGGAUCGGCUAACUCCGUGCCAGCAGCCGCGGUA
RNAcentral lists this ribosomal RNA (521 nucleotides) under uncultured bacterium. Its description in RNAcentral is "bacterial SSU rRNA". It matches the Rfam family "Bacterial small subunit ribosomal RNA", at positions 10 to 522 of the family's 1533-position model. The record is from RNAcentral.